RNAcentral lists this ribosomal RNA (253 nucleotides) under uncultured bacterium. RNAcentral's name for it is "partial 16S ribosomal RNA". It matches the Rfam family "Bacterial small subunit ribosomal RNA", at positions 524 to 776 of the family's 1533-position model. The record is from RNAcentral.
GACAGAGGGUGCAAACGUUGUUCGGAAUUAUUGGGCGUAAAGGGCGCGUAGGCGGCCUGGCAAGUGGAAGGUGAAAUCCCUCGGCUUAACCGAGGAACUGCCCUCCAAACUGCUUGGCUUGAGUCCGGGAGAGGUGAGUGGAAUUCCCAGUGUAGCGGUGAAAUGCGUAGAUAUUGGGAGGAACACCAGUGGCGAAGGCGGCUCACUGGACCGGAACUGACGCUGAGGCGCGAAAGCGUGGGGAGCAAACGGG